GUGGAAUAGAAAGAAUUAGCAAUUCCCACAUGUUAGUCAACUUCAGCUUGUGUGAGAACAGACAUGACAGAGCUGACCAACGGUUAAUCGGGAGACACCACCUACUUGGAAUCGCUGCAGUCCCCUCUUAAUUAAAUAAAUCUCAAACCUUGGGGAUAGAACGGGCUGCAGUUCUGAAAAAAGGUGCAAGAGACUUCUGACAAAUGUGGGCUGCAGGGGAUGGGUGUCUAAACCAGUUGCUCUAAAGUGUCUGCGAAAGCAAAAUUCUUCGCUUGUUAUCCUUUGAUAUAGAAAGCCAGACACUUUUAACUGAGUUCCACCCAUAUUCAUCUCCACAGAUGACUAGGAUAAUUAACGUCACCUGUAGUAAACAGGUUCCAAUCACCUUUCAUGCAGAUGUAUUUUAUGUGGAAUUAAUCAUUAAUCUCCAAGAUUUAUUUCAAGAAACCUAGUUAUAAAACAAUAAGACUAUACCUCUAUCCUUACAUAAAAUGUACAGACUCGUGAUCUCCUGGUGCAAAGUCCACAGAGAUUUGACCCACAACCAUUUGCUUACACAAUUGAUGCGCCGUCUGGGAACUCCGAUGCUGUUUAUCUGAACAACAGAAACAACCCCGCCAGAACAUUCCAAUGCCCACAUAUAUUUAGAAGUAUUGCUACAGGUGAUGCCUUGAACUUGACCUUAGGUAUGUUAAUCAAUGAAAUACAUGCUGGGAGAAAAAUCUGAUUAUAUUGCUUCCUACAGAAGGUUAUUUUGUUAUAUUGAAAUUCAGGGUUACAACAACGAAGUUCAAUUCCUGUGGUAUAUAUAAUAUGCUCUUAGUGUUAAGAUUUUGAAGUUAUAGGCAAUAAAAUGUCGCUAAGGCGAGACAAACUCUUUUUAUUUUGGUUAUUCCUGGGGGCUGAGAUCCGCAUUUCACUGCGCAUCCUAAAAAAAAAGUCGAUCACUUGGAUUCUCAGCUAAAUCCGAUUGUGUAAUACUCAGUGUUUUCGCUAAUGCAUGUUGAAUUUUAACAGCGAUAGAUAAGGGGUUUUUAAAAAAUAUUUUGUCCACUCACCAAAAAAAAAAAAUAAUAAAAAAAAUUAGAUUCUACUAUGCCACCCUGCUAACUGUAUAGGAGAGCCCUACUCAAGAAUUGUGAAACACACCGACCUAAAGACAUUUCUUCAUCAAGGAUUGUUUCAGGGGGCGGGUACAGGAAGUAUCAUUAUACUGAGCCUGUCAAACCAACGACUUCGAACAUUAACAUAUUCUGAUGGACUCUAAGAACUAUAUUAUAAUAAAGGUAACCUGUACUUAUGUAACUUUUUAAAUCUUAUAUUUGUAAAACACAAGUUGUGGAUUGUAAAAUGUAAUAGCUUUACCACACACGUUUUAUAUUGUUCUGUAAGGUCUUCUUUCUUUUGUGUACUGUAUUUUAGCUAUGCAAAUAAAAUACAAGGGUGCUUAU
Molecule: long non-coding RNA, 1451 nt
Organism: Malaclemys terrapin pileata
Lineage: Eukaryota; Metazoa; Chordata; Testudines; Emydidae
Exons: 3
Source: RefSeq, a predicted model, not a curated record